UUUGGUUAAGUUAGAAAGGGCGCACGGUGGAUGCCUUGACACUAGGAGUCGAUGAAGGACGGGACUAACGCCGAUAUGCUUCGGGGAGCUGUAAGUAAGCUUUGAUCCGAAGAUUUCCGAAUGGGGAAACCCACCAUACGUAAUGGUAUGGUAUCCUUAUCUGAAUACAUAGGGUAAGGAAGACAGACCCAGGGAACUGAAACAUCUAAGUACCUGGAGGAAGAGAAAGCAAAUGCGAUUUCCUGAGUAGCGGCGAGCGAAACGGAACAUAGCCCAAACCAAGAGGCUUGCCUCUUGGGGUUGUAGGACAUUCUAUACGGAGUUACAAAGGAACGAGGUAGACGAAGCGACCUGGAAAGGUCCGUCGUAGAGGGUAACAACCCCGUAGUCGAAACUUCGUUCUCUCUUGAAUGUAUCCUGAGUACGGCGGAACACGUGAAAUUCCGUCGGAAUCUGGGAGGACCAUCUCCCAAGGCUAAAUACUCCCUAGUGAUCGAUAGUGAACCAGUACCGUGAGGGAAAGGUGAAAAGCACCCCGGAAGGGGAGUGAAAGAGAUCCUGAAACCGUGUGCCUACAAAUAGUCAGAGCCCGUUAACGGGUGAUGGCGUGCCUUUUGUAGAAUGAACCGGCGAGUUACGAUCCCGUGCGAGGUUAAGCUGAAGAGGCGGAGCCGCAGCGAAAGCGAGUCUGAAUAGGGCGUUUAGUACGUGGUCGUAGACCCGAAACCAGGUGAUCUACCCAUGUCCAGGGUGAAGUUCAGGUAACACUGAAUGGAGGCCCGAACCCACGCACGUUGAAAAGUGCGGGGAUGAGGUGUGGGUAGCGGAGAAAUUCCAAUCGAACCUGGAGAUAGCUGGUUCUCCCCGAAAUAGCUUUAGGGCUAGCCUUAAGUGUAAGAGUCUUGGAGGUAGAGCACUGAUUGGACUAGGGGUCCUCAUCGGAUUACCGAAUUCAGUCAAACUCCGAAUGCCAAUGACUUAUCCUUAGGAGUCAGACUGCGAGUGAUAAGAUCCGUAGUCAAAAGGGAAACAGCCCAGACCGCCAGCUAAGGUCCCAAAGUGUGUAUUAAGUGGAAAAGGAUGUGGAGUUGCUUAGACAACUAGGAUGUUGGCUUAGAAGCAGCCACCAUUUAAAGAGUGCGUAAUAGCUCACUAGUCGAGUGACUCUGCGCCGAAAAUGUACCGGGGCUAAAUACACCACCGAAGCUGCGGAUUGAUACCAAUGGUAUCAGUGGUAGGGGAGCGUUCUAAGGACAGUGAAGUCAGACCGGAAGGACUGGUGGAGUGCUUAGAAGUGAGAAUGCCGGUAUGAGUAGCGAAAGACGGGUGAGAAUCCCGUCCACCGAAUGCCUAAGGUUUCCUGAGGAAGGCUCGUCCGCUCAGGGUUAGUCAGGACCUAAGCCGAGGCCGACAGGCGUAGGCGAUGGACAACAGGUUGAUAUUCCUGUACCACCUCUUUAUCGUUUGAGCAAUGGAGGGACGCAGAAGGAUAGAAGAAGCGUGCGAUUGGUUGUGCACGUCCAAGCAGUUAGGCUGAUAAGUAGGCAAAUCCGCUUAUCGUGAAGGCUGAGCUGUGAUGGGGAAGCUCCUUAUGGAGCGAAGUCUUUGAUUCCCCGCUGCCAAGAAAAGCUUCUAGCGAGAUAAAAGGUGCCUGUACCGCAAACCGACACAGGUAGGCGAGGAGAGAAUCCUAAGGUGUGCGAGAGAACUCUGGUUAAGGAACUCGGCAAAAUGACCCCGUAACUUCGGGAGAAGGGGUGCUUUCUUAACGGAAAGCCGCAGUGAAUAGGCCCAAGCGACUGUUUAGCAAAAACACAGCUCUCUGCGAAGCCGUAAGGCGAAGUAUAGGGGGUGACACCUGCCCGGUGCUGGAAGGUUAAGGAGAGGGGUUAGCGUAAGCGAAGCUCUGAACUGAAGCCCCAGUAAACGGCGGCCGUAACUAUAACGGUCCUAAGGUAGCGAAAUUCCUUGUCGGGUAAGUUCCGACCCGCACGAAAGGUGUAACGAUUUGGGCACUGUCUCAACCAGAGACUCGGUGAAAUUAUAGUACCUGUGAAGAUGCAGGUUACCCGCGACAGGACGGAAAGACCCCGUGGAGCUUUACUGUAGCCUGAUAUUGAAUUUUGGUACAGUUUGUACAGGAUAGGCGGGAGCCUUUGAAACCGGAGCGCUAGCUUCGGUGGAGGCGCUGGUGGGAUACCGCCCUGACUGUAUUGAAAUUCUAACCUACGGGUCUUAUCGACCCGGGAGACAGUGUCAGGUGGGCAGUUUGACUGGGGCGGUCGCCUCCUAAAGUGUAACGGAGGCGCCCAAAGGUUCCCUCAGAAUGGUUGGAAAUCAUUCGUAGAGUGCAAAGGCAUAAGGGAGCUUGACUGCGAGACUUACAAGUCGAGCAGGGACGAAAGUCGGGCUUAGUGAUCCGGUGGUUCCGCAUGGAAGGGCCAUCGCUCAACGGAUAAAAGCUACCCCGGGGAUAACAGGCUUAUCUCCCCCAAGAGUCCACAUCGACGGGGAGGUUUGGCACCUCGAUGUCGGCUCAUCGCAUCCUGGGGCUGUAGUCGGUCCCAAGGGUUGGGCUGUUCGCCCAUUAAAGCGGUACGCGAGCUGGGUUCAGAACGUCGUGAGACAGUUCGGUCCCUAUCCGUCGUGGGCGUAGGAAAUUUGAGAGGAGCUGUCCUUAGUACGAGAGGACCGGGAUGGACGCACCGCUGGUGUACCAGUUGUUCUGCCAAGGGCAUAGCUGGGUAGCUAUGUGCGGAAGGGAUAAGUGCUGAAAGCAUCUAAGCAUGAAGCCCCCCUCAAGAUGAGAUUUCCCAUAGCGUAAGCUAGUAAGAUCCCUGAAAGAUGAUCAGGUUGAUAGGUUCGAGGUGGAAGCAUGGUGACAUGUGGAGCUGACGAAUACUAAUAGAUCGAGGACUUAACCAUAUAA
This 2929-nucleotide ribosomal RNA is filed under the name Bacillus thuringiensis. Its description in RNAcentral is "bacterial LSU rRNA". It matches the Rfam family "Bacterial large subunit ribosomal RNA". Lineage: Bacteria; Bacillati; Bacillota; Bacilli; Caryophanales; Bacillaceae. The record is from RNAcentral.